GUUUCAAAAUGCGUGAAAUAAAUAUUAUAUCUGCAGUUGAAACUUGUGAAUCGGUUAAGGCAACUCCAUUUCACCAGGAGUAUUACAUAUCACUGAUAGAAAAUAACUGAGCAACGUAUUUUUCGAUUGCACUCAAAUUCGUGACUAGCUUCAGAAGAGUUCGAGCAAAGCGAUGAACACUUAUUGGCACACCGUACGUACCAACGACAAAGUAUCUUCUGAUGUGUCUGAGCAGCAUCGAGAGUGUGACCCCAGCAAUCGCCUGCAGCAGGGCGAGACUCAAAAAACUGAGAGUGACCGUCCCAGCUCCUCCCAGGGCGCAAACGACGUACGCCUGUUGGUGAAACAAACGGAUUUAACGAAUUCCCAGUUGUGGUAGCAUCGGUGGUACUCAAGGUCCUGGGUUAUAAAGAACACAAGCAUACUCACUUCCAUAAAGUCAGCGAACAUGAA
Long non-coding RNA from Neodiprion fabricii, 453 nucleotides. RefSeq lists it as uncharacterized. The transcript has 3 exons. The record is from RefSeq and is a predicted model, not a curated record. Lineage: Eukaryota; Metazoa; Arthropoda; Insecta; Hymenoptera; Diprionidae.